RNAcentral lists this ribosomal RNA (501 nucleotides) under uncultured bacterium. RNAcentral's name for it is "partial 16S ribosomal RNA". It matches the Rfam family "Bacterial small subunit ribosomal RNA", at positions 30 to 523 of the family's 1533-position model. The record is from RNAcentral.
AUUGAACGCUGGCGGCAGGCUUAACACAUGCAAGUCGAGCGGAGCGAGGGUGCUUGCACCUUAGCUUAGCGGCGGACGGGUGAGUAAUGCUUAGGAAUCUGCCUAUUAGUGGGGGACAACAUUCCGAAAGGAAUGCUAAUACCGCAUACGCCCUACGGGGGAAAGCAGGGGAUCUUCGGACCUUGCGCUAAUAGAUGAGCCUAAGUCGGAUUAGCUAGUUGGUGGGGUAAAGGCCUACCAAGGCGACGAUCCGUAGCGGGUCUGAGAGGAUGAUCCGCCACACUGGGACUGAGACACGGCCCAGACUCCUACGGGAGGCAGCAGUGGGGAAUAUUGGACAAUGGGCGGAAGCCUGAUCCAGCCAUGCCGCGUGUGUGAAGAAGGCCUUUUGGUUGUAAAGCACUUUAAGCGAGGAGGAGGCUACUUAGAUUAAUACUCUGGGAUAGUGGACGUUACUCGCAGAAUAAGCACCGGCUAACUCUGUGCCAGCAGCCGCAGUAA